AUGGUGUCUAAAAUCAAGAUGUCAAUUCACAAAUACCAAGUUUUUUUUGGGGGGGGGACUGCUUAAUGUUGAUAUUUAUUUUAUUUCAGAGGGAUCUUGAAAGACAUCAGCAGGGAAGAACCAUCAUGUACAAUGCACAUAACGAGUAGUUCGUUCUGGAGCUGUUGCAUGGGCUGACGGUGAAACGAUCCUCCCAAGCUGUGUCAGGUUGGAAGCGGAGCGUCGCUGCAGAGGCUAUUUUCAGGUCUCUCCAGCGAUGUUAGAUCGGGUUCAAGUCCGGGCUCUGGCUGGGCCACUCAAUGACAUUCAAAAACUUGUCCCGAAGCAA
Molecule: long non-coding RNA, 328 nt
Filed under: Salmo salar (Atlantic salmon)
Lineage: Eukaryota; Metazoa; Chordata; Actinopteri; Salmoniformes; Salmonidae
Description: lncRNA (ENSSSAG00000099902.1)
Source: RNAcentral